This 73-nucleotide ribosomal RNA is filed under the name Trichoderma sp. Its description in RNAcentral is "partial large subunit ribosomal RNA". Lineage: Eukaryota; Fungi; Ascomycota; Sordariomycetes; Hypocreales; Hypocreaceae. The record is from RNAcentral.
CCGGGAGUGUUAUAGCCCGUUGCAUAAUACCUGCGGUGGACUGAGGACCGCGCAUCUGCAAGGAUGCUGGCGU